This is a non-coding RNA of Gossypium raimondii (Peruvian cotton), 136 nucleotides long. Lineage: Eukaryota; Viridiplantae; Streptophyta; Magnoliopsida; Malvales; Malvaceae. The record is from Rfam.
GAUUAAAAAAUUUAUUCAUUUGUAUGGUUAAAAAUUAACGUAAUAAUCGUCAAUUAUACAUAGCGUGCCAUAUUUACCUCACACUGAUGUAUAUAGACCAGUUUUUAACAGUAGAAAUAAAUGAAAUUUAUUUAUG